CACGUAGGGCGCGAGCGUUGUCCGGAAUUAUUGGGCGUAAAGAGCUCGUAGGCGGCCUGUUGCGUCCGCUGUGAAAGCCCCGGGGCUUAACCCCGGGUCGGCAGUGGAUACGGGCAGGCUAGAGGUAGGUAGGGGAGAAUGGAAUUCCCGGUGUAGCGGUGAAAUUCGUAGAUAUUGGGGAGAACACCGGUGGCGAAGGCGGCGACCUGGUCCAUUACUGACGCUGAGGCGCGACAGCGUGGGGGAGCAAACAGG
This 255-nucleotide ribosomal RNA is filed under the name uncultured bacterium. RNAcentral describes it as "partial 16S ribosomal RNA". It matches the Rfam family "Bacterial small subunit ribosomal RNA", at positions 524 to 776 of the family's 1533-position model. The record is from RNAcentral.